RNAcentral lists this unclassified non-coding RNA (1136 nucleotides) under Athalia rosae (coleseed sawfly). RNAcentral describes it as "misc RNA ENSAEAG00005007384.1". Lineage: Eukaryota; Metazoa; Arthropoda; Insecta; Hymenoptera; Athaliidae. The record is from RNAcentral.
UCAAUUGAUUAUCCACACUGCGGUGGACCGAUAGAAAACAAAAGGGAGAAAAAGAAGAGAAAGAAAGGAAGGAAUUUCCAUUCGUCGCGAUUGCCGGGCUCGUUGUCGUUAGAAAUUUAUUCAAUUUUUGUUUUCCGUUUUCCCCCUAUUCCUCCCGGGUGGGUGGAAAAUAAACUGUACAGAUAUUUAACGAGUGGUCCGUAUAAAGGGAAUAAUAUCGCGAGCCCACCACGAGGUCCCGUGGGAAUAAACCGAAAAAAGCUCUCACCUAUCGAUUGCAUUCCAUUUCUCGUGUAUCGGAGCACGUGAGGUGGUAUAAAUCGAGGAAAAUUUCAGCGUGUCGUCGACCGUUUCGUCCUCGUCGUCCUUGUCGUCGCACGUGGAAAAUGGGCUUGGAAAAUCUCCUUCGUAGAGAAGGGCGAGGAAAUCGGAAUUUCGAACUUCCGACAACCGCGGGGGCGAUGAGCCGUUAAAAUUAUUAACGUAAUCGUCGUUAUUUCGAGUCGUCGCUUCUUUCUCAACGUUUUCGUUAGGUGUUGACCACUCUCUACCCCAGGUCGUUGAAAAGGAGGAAACGUACGUCGCCGACGUUACACUCGUUUCCCCCGUACACAUAUAGAAGCGCGCUUAUAACCUCCGUCAUAUUUUGAAUCGAUAACACGCGCCGUUACCGAGUAACGCGAGGAGGAAGGCAGGCGGCCCCGUAUACUCGCGGCGCCCGUUAUACUGAUUGUGCACGAAACGAGUGUGGAAAAAAAGAAAAAAAAAGAAAUACCGGGAGAAGAAGACGAAGAAGGAGGAGGAGGGAAAAGAGAAGAAAAUAAAAGCAAAGAAAAAAAAUAAACCAACAAACAGAAAAAAAGACAAAAAGAAAAAGCGAAAUAAAGAAAUGAAAAAACCGGCUAACGGUGUGACUGAAAUCGUAGCGUUAAAAUAUUCAACUCCGCGUGUUAUAGGUGCCGGGCCAUCCGUUCCCCGUCGUCACACCUGAAACGUGAAAGAGAAGAAGAACGGGGGGCGGGGGAGGGGCGGGGAGGAGGGGAGGUGAGGGUGAGUGAGGAAUUAAAAGGAGAGAGAAAAAGGAGAAAUUGGACCGGGCUUUAUGUAGGCGAAAAGUGGGGAAAAAUGGAUGCUGA